Long non-coding RNA from Oncorhynchus kisutch (coho salmon), 1508 nucleotides. RefSeq lists it as uncharacterized. NCBI's taxonomy places the organism in Eukaryota, Metazoa, Chordata, Actinopteri, Salmoniformes, Salmonidae. The transcript is spliced from 3 exons. The record is from RefSeq and is a predicted model, not a curated record.
GGGCUACAGUUGCUUGAUUGACUAGCUGACUUCGACUAGCUACGUUCAGGCAAUGUCCUUUGCAAAUGCCUUAUUACUGACAAAAGUACGCAUAACAAAAUAUCUGCAAACGAGUAAAGGGAGACGUAAAGUAAAAAAAUUUACGUGUAAAUGUUAAUUCAUAGUAGUAACAGAUCUAAUUUAACGUUUACGUUUAAUGUUUCAUGCAUGGGUUUUCUUACAAUCCUAAUGAUACGUACGUUCAACCUUUUGGCAGCUAUCUCGCUCCAUAUCGUUGGGACAUCCCUAACCCCUAUCUAACCUUAACCAUUUUAACUUCAGUGGGGGUUCGGGAUGUUCCAAGGAUUCCGGAUAGCACGGACAUUUUGAUUACACAAGAGGUUGUUUCACCAGCCCAAAUUAAUUUAACUUUUUGGGAUUAUGAUCUAUUUGAUUUAUUGUACAUGGGUUAGUAGCUCUGGACUCUCUCACUAAAUAUAUUCAAAAUGUGGCAAUUUGCCAGGCUGAUGAGGAUGAGCAAGCCAGGCUGGUGGGCUUGAGGCUGGUGGGCUUGUGGGCAAGCCAGGCUGGUGGGCAAGCCAGGCUGUCAUUGUAAUACGAAUUUGUUCUUAAACUGACUGGUCUAAUUAAAUUUAAAACAAAUACCUUGGAGCCCCCUGACAACUGCGAGUCGAGGACAUUUCUGUUUGCGACAUCAUAUCGAAGUCUGCAACCAAGAAUAGCACUUGCCAAACACGCCAGCGUGUUUUCUCUCUUUUCUGAAGUCAUGGCGGGACCUUUAAACGCUAGAAGAGGACCAUGGAAAAAUAUAUUUCCUCAGGGAGAGACCUAUGCCCUCCCAAGGGAUGCAACACAUUUUGCCUGAUGUGGACCAUAAGUGAGCAUUGUUCAGGUGGUCGGGGAAUGGGAUUCCAGAGAUGGACUUUGCCAGGGUUGACAAAAUGUGGUGGGUCCACCCUCCACCACCAUCUGCAGCUCAGUAGAGAUGGAGAGGGGAGCUGAUAGGUUUGGAGUACCUCCUCGAUCAGACUGGUUUGGUGCUGCAGGAUCUCAAGGCUGCCAUUGAGGAACUAGAGACAGGUGAUCCUGAUGUCCAAGGGGAGGAUGAUGAGGGCUUUGUGGAGCUUGUGGAAUUUCAGGGCCUGACAGUUCCAGUGGUGGAGACAGCCCUGCCUCUUGUUGGCACCUUUCGUCCUACUCCCACUCCCUCUACCAGCAUCCAGUCCACAGCUGCAUCAGUCAGUCCCCUGUCCUCCACUCCUGUACGGGCUACUCCACCACCUGGGCCUCUGUCCUCCACACUUGUGCUCGUCAGUCCCCUGUUCCUGUUUGGGCUAACAUUACUUCUUAGUCCAUGGACCAUAAAUGUUCUUUUUAAAGUGUGAUUUGGCUCUGGCAGUCAAAACAGCCAAAUACCCCAUCUAACGGAUUGAGAUAGUGAAAUGUUUUGUUGUUUCGGCUCUGUACUCCAGCACUUUGGAUUUGCAAUGAUACAAAGUCAGCUUUAA